Molecule: long non-coding RNA, 1032 nt
Filed under: Castor canadensis (American beaver)
Lineage: Eukaryota; Metazoa; Chordata; Mammalia; Rodentia; Castoridae
Description: lncRNA (ENSCCNG00000025616.1)
Source: RNAcentral
UCCCUCCCCUCCCCCGCCCUCCUCGCUCCCCUCCCCCAAACCCACUUCCGCAGCUCGCGGCCUUGCCGCCGAAGAAGCAGCGGCGGCGGCAGCAGCAGGAGGCGGCGGCGGGGCGCCGAGAGGAUUACGCACCUGACGGGCCCGCCUCUGAGGGCUCCAGCGCGGGACGCUCACCGGCCACCGCCGCUCCGGACGCACUUCGCGGUGGCGGCGGCAAGGAAAGGACCGGCGACGGGGAACGGAACGCGAAUCGCCCCCCUCCCCUUCCUCCCUCCCUCCUCCGAUCCGCCGCCCGCCCUCUCGGCUUCCGUCCCCUCCCCCUCCCGCAAAGCCCCGGAUGGAGCCGCCGCCGACUCGCCGCCGCCUGGCUCCGGGGGAUGGUUUUGUCAGGCGGCCAGAGUCCCGGCGCCAGGCGCAGCCGCCCCCGCCCCCGCGGGGCGUCCCUGCCCUCGCUUCCCAGAACCGGGUCCCGAGUGGUCCGGGCCCUCCGCCUGCCUUCACCCGAAGCCCCGGGACGGGGGUCAUUCGUCUUCUUUGUUGCCACUGCCGCUGCCGGAACCGUUUGCGAGCUCCGGUGGCCCCCGCCCCCCCUCGCCUUCCCGGAGCCCGGGCCGGGGGCGGCACGUGGGCACCGGCCCCGGGAGGUGGAGGCGGUGCGCGCUUACCUGUCGCCAGUGCUGCUGCGGCGGGGGGUGUGGAGGACGCAGCGCUGGGCGGCUUCGGCCGUGCUGUCCUCCCCGCCGCCGCCUCUGCCUCUGGUUGCUGCUGCUGCUGCCGCCGCGGUCGGUGUCUCCGGCGCGGCGGCGGCGGCGGCGGCGGGGCUUUUCCUGUCCGGUUACGUUAAGGUCACAUGACCGAGGGAGCGGAGCGACUAGUGCAAAGAGGCUGAGAGCGGCUCCCGCCGGGGGGGAGAGGCGGCGAGAGCAGUGGCGGCAAGAGCCCCUCCGCCCCCCAGCCGCUCCCCUCCCCCCGCCCGCCUCCGCCUCCUGCUGCUCUGCCGCCGCCGCCGCCGCCGCCUGCAGCACUCGCUAG